Molecule: ribosomal RNA, 253 nt
Filed under: uncultured bacterium
Lineage: Bacteria
Description: partial 16S ribosomal RNA
Rfam family: Bacterial small subunit ribosomal RNA
Source: RNAcentral
UACGUAGGGUGCGAGCGUUAAUCGGAAUUACUGGGCGUAAAGCGUGCGCAGGCGGUUAGCCGUGUCCGAUGUGAAAGCCCCGGGCUCAACCUGGGAAUGGCAUUGGAAACUGGCUGGCUGGAGUGUGGCAGAGGGGGGUGGAAUUCCACGUGUAGCAGUGAAAUGCGUAGAGAUCGGGAGGAACACCAGAGGCGAAGGCGGCGACCUGGACAAGUACUGACACUCAACUGCGAAAGCGUGGGGAGCAAACAGG